UACAGAGGGUGCAAACGUUGUUCGGAAUCACUGGGCAUAAAGCGCACGUAGGCGGCUCCGUAAGUGUGGAGUGAAAUCCCACGGCUCACCCGUGGAAUUGCUUUGCAUACUGCGGAGCUGGAGGACGGUAGGGGAGAGCGGAACUCCUGGUGGAGCGGUGAAAUGCGUAGAUAUCAGGAGGAACACCGGUGGCGAAGGCGGCUCUCUGGUCCGUUUCUGACGCUGAGGUGCGAAAGCCAGGGUAGCGAACGGG
Molecule: ribosomal RNA, 253 nt
Filed under: uncultured bacterium
Lineage: Bacteria
Description: partial 16S ribosomal RNA
Rfam family: Bacterial small subunit ribosomal RNA
Source: RNAcentral